GAAGUACAAAAUAAUGAAUUCGGGCGUGUGUUGGAGAAAGAAAAAAGAAAAAUAAGACGAGAAAGAAAUAGAAGGUUCGGGGAAAAGAUGAAGCUCCACUCAACCAAAGAUUACACAAUCCCCGCCUCAACCUAACCUUUCUUCCCCACCUCUAUUAUGCGCGCGCGUGAACAACGAAGGUAGGAGUCGAAUACGCGAGUAAGGCAGGUAAAGCAAACAAGCAAGGCAGACAGGCAGGCAAGCAGGCAAGCAGGCAGGCAGGCAGGCAAGCAGGCAGCCGACCAGCAGGGCACAAUUUGUUCAAGAAUUGACAGGACCUACUCGAAAGUUUAAAAUACCCUAUUGGGCCAUUAAACACGAACCUGAUCCACGUGGCGGACAGAUGCAAAAGAUACGGCGGCGCCGGUUUUUGAAUAGUCGUAAAAGGAAUAUUCUCGUUACUUUCAAUGCUAUCUACGCCUUCAAUAUAUAAAAUUCUCGAUAUAUUA
This is a long non-coding RNA of Apis dorsata (giant honeybee), 488 nucleotides long. RefSeq lists it as uncharacterized. The record is from RefSeq and is a predicted model, not a curated record. The transcript is spliced from 2 exons. NCBI's taxonomy places the organism in Eukaryota, Metazoa, Arthropoda, Insecta, Hymenoptera, Apidae.